Molecule: ribosomal RNA, 506 nt
Filed under: uncultured bacterium
Lineage: Bacteria
Description: partial 16S ribosomal RNA
Rfam family: Bacterial small subunit ribosomal RNA
Source: RNAcentral
AGUGAACGCUGGCGGUAGGCCUAACACAUGCAAGUCGAACGGCAGCACAGGAGAGCUUGCUCUCUGGGUGGCGAGUGGCGGACGGGUGAGGAAUACAUCGGAAUCUACUUUUUCGUGGGGGAUAACGUAGGGAAACUUACGCUAAUACCGCAUACGACCUACGGGUGAAAGCAGGGGACCUUCGGACCUUGCGCGAUUGAAUGAGCCGAUGUCGGAUUAGCUAGUUGGCGGGGUAAAGGCCCACCAAGGCGACGAUCCGUAGCUGGUCUGAGAGGAUGAUCAGCCACACUGGAACUGAGACACGGUCCGGACUCCUACGGGAGGCAGCAGUGGGGAAUAUUGGACAAUGGGCGCAAGCCUGAUCCAGCCAUACCGCGUGGGUGAAGAAGGCCUUCGGGUUGUAAAGCCCUUUUGUUGGGAAAGAAAUCCAGCUGGUUAAUACCCGGUUGGGAUGACGGUACCCAAAGAAUAAGCACCGGCUAACUUCGUGCCAGCCGCCGCAGUAA